AAGUCGUAACAAGGUUUCCGUAGGUGAACCUGCGGAAGGAUCAUUACAGAGCGUGAAGCUAUGCGGAACUUCGUUUCGUGUAGUUGACCCUCCACCCGUGUCGAUUAUCUCAUGUUGCUUUGGCGGAUCGGGCUUGCCCGCGCCCACUUUGUGGGGGAUAUCCGCCAGGGAAGACCAAAACUCUUGUUAUCAGUGAUGUCUGAGGAUGAUAUAUAAUCAUGAAAACUUUCAACAACGGAUCUCUUGGCUCUG
Molecule: unclassified non-coding RNA, 252 nt
Filed under: Blumeria graminis
Lineage: Eukaryota; Fungi; Ascomycota; Leotiomycetes; Helotiales; Erysiphaceae
Also listed under: 1 other name
Description: partial internal transcribed spacer region
Rfam family: Eukaryotic small subunit ribosomal RNA (bases 1-46)
Source: RNAcentral